Molecule: long non-coding RNA, 1523 nt
Filed under: Aotus nancymaae (Ma's night monkey)
Lineage: Eukaryota; Metazoa; Chordata; Mammalia; Primates; Aotidae
Description: lncRNA (ENSANAG00000038757.1)
Source: RNAcentral
AAGAGACUGUGUUCUGGAAACAAAACUCCCUUAAAAAAUGUUCGCUUCCUUCUGGACUCAAGAUAGGAAAUUUCUGGGUUCCCAACCAGAAAACGUAAAGGCAAAGGAAAAGCUGGAAAGUCCCUUUUCUAAACCUUCUUUAGAGAUAUUUAAAGCAAAAAUAAUUCUCCAUGUCUUCCGGAGGGAGCGCUUCAGGGCCAGGGUUGUUUCCUUGACUUCUCUUGCUGAUUUGGUGGCUUGCGUGGGCUCAUGCGUCCAUCUGCGGUAGGGUGUACAUCCAGAAAAUCAUGGAGUAGGGGCUUUGUCCAGGAUACCACAAAUGAAGGAAUCCAAAUGACCAUCUGUGGGAUAGGACAUUACCAAUGCCUUUCUUUUCUAGGAGAGGAAACUGAGGCUCUUGGGAAGGUGGAAGUUGCACGUGGUUCUCACAGUCAACUGUGCCAGAAUAGGAGGCCAGGAACAACCUCUGUUGGAGAAGGACCCACCAGGCAUCCUUUCAAGAAAGCCAAGGUCCACAAUGCUGCCCUGAUCUCAGACUCAGUGCAGAAGCAGUAUGGAAAGGAUGAGAAGGCAUGAGGAAACCCCAGACAACGGAGCCAGGAAUCUGUCUGCGGAAGGGAGACAUGCUGGAAGGGUCAAGCAGGUGGGCAGGUAUCAGAUGCCACAUGUCUGCGGUGGUGACCCUGCUGCCCAAUGCCAACCUUGCUUCUUGGCAGCAUCUGCUGGACUGUCAGAGGCAUAAUUCAGCCAGAGGGCACACCCGAACCCGUUAGGCAUGGAACACUGAGUAAACAGCCCCUAGGAAUGUCUCUGACUUGAAUUUCAGCUCCUUUACUUGGGAGCAUCUGUCCUCUCUGGUUGUGGAAAAGAGGAAUCGGGGAUAGGGAAGGCUCAGCAUAUAAUGCCCCUUGACUAAAGGAGGCUGUGUGGUCUUGGGGGCAGUGGUUCUUGGGAUGUUUGGUGGGGGUACUGCAGGGACAGGGGGUGGGGAAAGGGGAAACUGAGGGGAAGCCUAUUCCUGGCACCCCCACAUUUCCUGGCUCUCAGCUACUCAGCUGCUAUCUGCUAUCUGCUCCAAACAAUGCAAUUCUGCUUAAAUUUUGUUUGAGAAGGUUCUGUGACUAAAACUUUUGAGAAGCAUUGAACUCAUGGGGAUGUGUAGGAUGAGAGCAAACAAGGUUUCGAGUUCAUACCUGCCAACAGCUUCUGAGUGACCUUCAUCAAAGCUGCUCAUCCUGAGAGCCAGACCUCAGUCAUUUCCAUUACAAGGAAGCUUUGCCCGGGCUCUGUCCUCUCUUCCCACAUGGAAAGGGGGUCAGGACAACUGUCUAAGCAGAUGACCCUGCCUCGGAAAUGAUCUCAUCUUGAGGGCACUCAGACCAGUCCUCCAACCUGCCCCCUACUUCCUAUCCCUAAAGUCCUUUGUCAGAUGAGCUGAAAGGUGUGACACUAACUGGAAAGAUAAACAGGAUGAUUAAAAAUCAAAGUGUUGGCCAGGCGCGGUGGCUCACGCCUGUAAUUCC